This 218-nucleotide ribosomal RNA is filed under the name Macrophya sp. YI-2013b. RNAcentral's name for it is "partial 16S ribosomal RNA". Lineage: Eukaryota; Metazoa; Arthropoda; Insecta; Hymenoptera; Tenthredinidae. The record is from RNAcentral.
GCUGUCUCAUUAUAAAUAAAAAUUUAAUUUAAUUUUUAAGUUAAAAAGCUUAAAUUUUUUUGAAGGACGAGAAGACCCUAUAGAGUUUUAUAAUUUUUUUUAAUAGUAAUAUUUAAUUAAUUUUUUAUUAUUUAAAAUUAUUUUAUUGGGGCGAUAAAAAAAUUUAUUAAACUUUUUUUUUGUUUUACAUUAAUUUAUGAAUUUUUGAUCCUUUUAUU